GUGGGUGGAGAGAGCAGAGCGCCUGAAGAAUGGCUCCUCUGAGUAGAGCACAUCCGAAGAGCAACGUGGGCUUCCUCCUCACGGUGGCAGAACACUGUGGCCUUCUGUGACACUAUGCCCCAUCCAU
This is a small nucleolar RNA of Pipistrellus kuhlii (Kuhl's pipistrelle), 127 nucleotides long. RefSeq annotates it as small nucleolar RNA SNORA11. The transcript has a single exon. Lineage: Eukaryota; Metazoa; Chordata; Mammalia; Chiroptera; Vespertilionidae. The record is from RefSeq and is a predicted model, not a curated record.